CGAAAAUGCACAGUUCGAGAUGAAACUCAAACCAGUUUAUUUCAUCCUGUUUAUGAUUAUUUUAUCAUUUAUGUUCGAGAUCGAAGCUGCAACUACCAAAAAAAAGAAAGGGAAGAAAGUAAAAAAGAAGAGUACAAAAACCAAAAAAAAGUCGGCCAAAAAAUCAAAAAAAGUUAAAAAAUCCAAAAAAAAGUCAGACAAGCCAGACUAUUACGACAAAAUGAUUGAAAAGUGGGAGAAGAGAAAUCCCCUCAUGGUCCCUCGAGGGAUUGCCAUCCCGGAGGAAUUUUUGCACGAAGAAACCAAUGAGACCCUGACCAUUGCCCUGCCCGACUCGGUUUUAAACGACGAAGAAUAUAAUAUUUCGGCGACAAAUAAUGCAUAAAAAUAAUAACAAUAAAAGUUCUUUUUUGUGAAACAA
Long non-coding RNA from Tribolium castaneum (red flour beetle), 421 nucleotides. RefSeq lists it as uncharacterized. Lineage: Eukaryota; Metazoa; Arthropoda; Insecta; Coleoptera; Tenebrionidae. The transcript is spliced from 2 exons. The record is from RefSeq and is a predicted model, not a curated record.